This 1737-nucleotide ribosomal RNA is filed under the name termite gut metagenome. Its description in RNAcentral is "bacterial LSU rRNA". It matches the Rfam family "Bacterial large subunit ribosomal RNA", at positions 1126 to 2518 of the family's 2925-position model. The record is from RNAcentral.
AAGAGUGCGUAAUAGCUCACUGGUCGAGUGACCCUGCGCCGAAGAUUUAACGGGGCUAAGAUACACACCGAAGCUUGGGGAGUAGGACAGUUGACAGUGCAUAGUUGAGAAUGGAUAGUGAAAAGAAAUGAGAAGCAUAGUAGAGAAGAAAAGCUUUGAGUUGGCAGUCAGAAUCGUUCGGAUGAGCAGGUAUUUAAGGAAACGAGGAGCUGAGCAGCCGAUAAUCGAGCAAAUACUCAGGAGCGGAACAAGCAUAGGUGCGAACAUAAGUGAGGCACAGAAUGCGCAGAGCAAGAGAGAUUUUCUAUCUAAAAUGCAGAUAGCAUUGAAAGAAGCAACGGAGACACAGUAUUGGAUAAGGCUUUUGAAAGAAGUAGAGAGCAUGAAUGAGAAAGAAUAUGAGAGCCUGAUGAAAGACUGUGACGAAGUGACGAAAAUGCUGAUUUCCAUCGUGAAAACGACGAGGGAAAAGGAGAAAUAACUAUCAACUAUCAAUUAUCUACUGUCAACUGCCCUACUCGGUAGGAGAGCGUCGUAUACCGGGGUGAAGCAAGAGCGGAAGCGCUUGUGGACUGUAUACGAGUGAGAAUGCCGGAAUGAGUAGCGAGAAAUAUGUGAGAAUCAUAUUGGCCGAAAAUCUAAGGUUUUUGGAGGAAGGUUCGUCCGCUCCAAGUUAGCCGGGGGCUAAGGCGAGGCCGAAAGGCGUAGUCGAUGCACAUACGGUAGAAAUUCCGUAGCCACCGAAAGAUUUAAGUAAAGUGACACCUUGAAAGGACACAACCCGGGCGAUGGUUGCCCCGGGCGAAAGGGAUGCGAAAAUAGUAGCAGAAGUGUGUUUAGACGAGGGCGAGAAAAGCUUUAUGGUAUAUCUGAGGUGCCCGUACCGCAAACCGACACAGGUAGAUAGGAAGAGGAUUCUAAGGCCAACGGGAGAAGGGUAGUUAAGGAACUCGGCAAAUUGAUCCCGUAACUUCGGAAGAAGGGAUGCCACAGAGAUGUGGCCGCAGAGAAUAGGCCCAGGCGACUGUUUAUCAAAAACACAGGUCUCUGCUAAAUCGAAAGAUGAUGUAUAGGGGCUGACACCUGCCCGGUGCUGGAAGGUUAAGAGGAGAUGUGAGAGCAUUGAAUUGAAGCCCCAGUAAACGGCGGCUGUAACUAUAACAGUCCUAAGGUAGCGAAAUUCCUUGUCGGGUAAGUUCCGACCCGCACGAAUGGUGUAACGAUCUGGGCGCUGUCUCAACUACCCGCCCGGCGAAAUUGUAGUACCGGUGAAGAUGCCGGUUACCCGCGACAAGACGGAAAGACCCCAUGGAGCUUUACUGUAGCUUAAUAUUGGGUUUCGAUAAUUUAUGUAUAGGAUAGGCGGGAGACUUGGAAGCAUGGGCGCCAGCUUGUGUGGAGUCAACCUUGGAAUACCGCUCUUAAGUUGUUGGAAUUCUAACCUGCGGCCGUGAAUCCGGCCGGGGGACAUUGUUAGGUGGGCAGUUUGACUGGGGCGGUCGCCUCCUAAAAGGUAACGGAGGCGCUCAAAGGUCAGCUCAGCACGGACGGAAACCGUGCAAUAGAGUGUAAACGCGUAAGCUGGCCUGACUGCGAGGAUGACGGUCCGAGCAGGAACGAAAGUUGGAGUUAGUGAUCCGGCGGUAUGAGAGUGGAAUUGCCGUCGCUCAACGGAUAAAAGCUACCCUGGGGAUAACAGGCUGAUCUCCCCCAAGCGUCCACAGCGACGGGGAGGUU